GGGGCUGAUUCUGGAUUCGACGGGAUUUGCGAAACCCAAGGUGCAUGCCGAGGGGCGGUUGGCCUCGUAAAAAGCCGCAAAAAAUAGUCGCAAACGACGAAAACUACGCUUUAGCAGCUUAAUAACCUGCUUAGAGCCCUCUCUCCCUAGCCUCCGCUCUUAGGACGGGGAUCAAGAGAGGUCAAACCCAAAAGAGAUCGCGUGGAAGCCCUGCCUGGGGUUGAUGCGUUAAAACUUAAUCAGGCUAGUUUGUUAGUGGCGUGUCCGUCCGCAGCUGGCAAGCGAAUGUAAAGACUGACUAAGCAUGUAGUACCGAGGAUGUAGGAAUUUCGGACGCGGGUUCAACUCCCGCCAGCUCCACCA
RNAcentral lists this transfer-messenger RNA (363 nucleotides) under Escherichia coli. It matches the Rfam family "transfer-messenger RNA". Rfam says of the family: Bacterial tmRNA, also known as 10Sa RNA or SsrA, is named for its dual tRNA and mRNA-like properties. Lineage: Bacteria; Pseudomonadati; Pseudomonadota; Gammaproteobacteria; Enterobacterales; Enterobacteriaceae. The record is from RNAcentral.